Non-coding RNA from Paramuricea clavata, 1456 nucleotides. NCBI's taxonomy places the organism in Eukaryota, Metazoa, Cnidaria, Anthozoa, Malacalcyonacea, Plexauridae. The record is from the annotation of a GenBank genome assembly.
UAAAUAAAUAGGUGUUUUGUUAUUAUAAAAACAACUAUUAACCUCGUUCUUAAAAAAAAUCAUUUCUUGUUCCGAAAUAGUCCAACAAAUCAUGAAUUAAACAGCCUAUAAAUGGCUCGCGCAUUCGCUGUUUGGGUUUGCAAGUUCAAAGCGAAAGUGGCAAUUAUGGGAAGCUAAGUAGCUGCGUUAUAGGAAAAUAGACAUGCAUAAAUAGGUAGUUACUAUUAUAAAACAACUGUCUCGGUUUUCAAAAUUAAUCUCUUGUCCCGGAAUAUAUUGUCUAAUGCGUGAAUAAAAUAGCCUACAUCGCUAGCGCAUUGACUAGAUUAUUUGGGUUUGCAAGUUCAAAGCGAAAGUGUCAACUAUGGGAAGCUAUGUCGGAUCCGCGUUAUAGAGAGAUAAAGAUGAAUAAAUUGGGAGUUUAUUAUUAUAAAAGAACCACUAACAUCGUUCUUAAAAAAUCAUUUAAUUUUUCUCAGUUCCGAAAUAGUCCAAUCAAGAAUAUUCAUGAAUUAGACAGCCUAUAAAUGGCCAGCGUAUUGGACCAUGCAUGAUGGCUGUUUGGAUUCGCAAGUUCAAAGCGAAAGUGACAACUAUGGAAAGCUAUAGCUGCGUUAUAGGGAGAUAUAGAUGCAGAAAUAGGGAAUUUAUUAUUAUAAAAGAACUGUAUCGUUCUUAAAAAGUCAUAUUUUGUCCAAAAAUAGUAAAAUAAAUCAUGAAUAAAACAGCCUAGAUGGUUAGCGCAUUCAUUCCAACAUGGCUAGAUGGCAGUUUGGGUCUACAAGUUGAAAGCGAAAGUGUCAACUAUGAAAAACUAUAGCUACGUUAUAGAUAGAUAGAGAUGGAUAAAUGGAUAGGUUUACUAUUAUAAAACAACUGACUCGUUGCUAAAAAACUUUUUUGCUCUAGAAUUGUCUAAUUCGUGAAUAAAAUAGCCUACAUUGCCAGCGCAUUGUUGAAGGAUUAUGUAUAGAUUUGCAAGUUGAAAGCGAAAGUGCCAACUAUGGGAGCUAUAGCUGCGUUAUAGAUAGACUGAGAUGGAUAAAUUGAUAAUAGUUUACUAUUAUAAAACAACUGCUUCGUUAAAAUUUUUUGUCUUACAGAAUUAUCUAAUUCGUGAAUAAAGUCACCUAUAGACAUCGCUAUAGCGCAUUAAAGCCUAAAGGAUUAUUUGGAUUUGCAGCUCAAAGCGAAAGUGUCAACUAUGUUUAUGGGAAGUCAUGCAGGCUGCGUUAUAGAGAGAUCGAAAUGGAUAAAUAGGGAGUUUGUUAUUAUAAAAAACUACUAACCUCGAUCUUUAAGAAAUCAUUUUUCGUUUUGAAAAUAGUCCAAUAAUUCAUGAUGAUUAAACAGCCUUGAUGGUUAGCGCAUUGGCUGUUUGGGCAUGCAAGUUCGAAGCGAAAGUUUUAACUAUGGCAAGUCAUAGCCGUUAACUUAUAGAGAGAUAUUAGGGAUG